This 292-nucleotide ribosomal RNA is filed under the name uncultured bacterium. RNAcentral's name for it is "partial 16S ribosomal RNA". The record is from RNAcentral.
GGACUACCCGGGUUUCUAAUCCCGUUCGCUCCCCUAGCUUUCGCGCCUCAGCGUCAGUUGCAAGCUAGCAAGCCGCCUUCGCCACUGGUGUUCCUCCCGAUAUCUACGCAUUUCACUACUACACCGGGAAUUCCACUUGCCUCUCUUGCACUCCAGCCCCGCAGUUUUGGACGCAGUUUCGAGGUUGAGCCUCGAACUUUCACAACCAACUUGCGGAACCGCCUACGCGCUCUUUACGCCCAGUAAAUCCGGAUAACGCUCGCCCCCUACGUAUUACCGCGGCGGCUGGCAC